Molecule: ribosomal RNA, 253 nt
Filed under: uncultured bacterium
Lineage: Bacteria
Description: partial 16S ribosomal RNA
Rfam family: Bacterial small subunit ribosomal RNA
Source: RNAcentral
GACAGAGGGUGCAAACGUUGUUCGGAAUUACUGGGCGUAAAGGGCGCGUAGGCGGCCAUUCAAGUUAGGUGUGAAAGCCCUGGGCUCAACCUAGGAAUUGCACUUGAUACUGUUUGGCUUGAGUUCGGGAGAGGUGAGUGGAAUUCCCAGUGUAGAGGUGAAAUUCGUAGAUAUUGGGAAGAACACCAGUGGCGAAGGCGGCUCACUGGACCGACACUGACGCUGAGGCGCGAAAGCGUGGGGAGCAAACAGG